CAUUCAUUAAUCCAUAAACUUGGGCAAUCCUAAAAAACGGGCUGAAAUGGGCUGCGCGCCUUAGGGGCCAUCGAAGGGACAGGAACGUCCCGAGCGCGCAGCCCAGUUCAGUACAUUGUCCUUGUCACAGUCCCCUAGGGGAGUGUCCACCAGGUGGGGGACUUGCAUAAAAGCCAGGCAUGUAGCCCUUAUUAAACAGAUUCCUGCAGACCCUCAAUACGGUGCUGUGUCU
Non-coding RNA from Pelobates cultripes (western spadefoot toad), 232 nucleotides. NCBI's taxonomy places the organism in Eukaryota, Metazoa, Chordata, Amphibia, Anura, Pelobatidae. The record is from the annotation of a GenBank genome assembly.